AUUGAACGCUGGCGGCAGGCCUAACACAUGCAAGUCGAGCGGAUGAAGGGAGCUUGCUCCUGGAUUCAGCGGCGGACGGGUGAGUAAUGCCUAGGAACCUGCCUGGUAGUGGGGGAUAACGUCCGGAAACGGGCGCUAAUACCGCAUACGUCCUGAGGGAGAAAGUGGGGGAUCUUCGGACCUCACGCUAUCAGAUGAGCCUAGGUCGGAUUAGCUAGUUGGUGGGGUAAAGGCCUACCAAGGCGACGAUCCGUAACUGGUCUGAGAGGAUGAUCAGUCACACUGGAACUGAGACACGGUCCAGACUCCUACGGGAGGCAGCAGUGGGGAAUAUUGGACAAUGGGCGAAAGCCUGAUCCAGCCAUGCCGCGUGUGUGAAGAAGGUCUUCGGAUUGUAAAGCACUUUAAGCUGGGAGGAAGGGCAGUAAGUUAAUACCUUGCUGUUUUGACGUUACCAACAGAAUAAGCACCGGCUAACUUCGUG
Molecule: ribosomal RNA, 484 nt
Filed under: uncultured bacterium
Lineage: Bacteria
Description: partial 16S ribosomal RNA
Rfam family: Bacterial small subunit ribosomal RNA
Source: RNAcentral